RNAcentral lists this ribosomal RNA (497 nucleotides) under uncultured bacterium. RNAcentral describes it as "partial 16S ribosomal RNA". It matches the Rfam family "Bacterial small subunit ribosomal RNA", at positions 28 to 507 of the family's 1533-position model. The record is from RNAcentral.
GAUGAACGCUGGCGGCGUGCCUAAUACAUGCAAGUCGAGCGAACAGACGAGGAGCUUGCUCCUCUGACGUUAGCGGCGGACGGGUGAGUAACACGUGGACAACCUACCUAUAAGACUGGGAUAACUUCGGGAAACCGGAGCUAAUACCGGAUAAUAUAUUGAACCGCAUGGUUCAAUAGUGAAAGACGGUAUUGCUGUCACUUAUAGAUGGAUCCGCGCCGCAUUAGCUAGUUGGUAAGGUAACGGCUUACCAAGGCAACGAUGCGUAGCCGACCUGAGAGGGUGAUCGGCCACACUGGAAAUGAGACACGGUCCAGACUCCUACGGGAGGCAGCAGUAGGGAAUCUUCCGCAAUGGGCGAAAGCCUGACGGAGCAACGCCGCGUGAGUGAUGAAGGUCUUCGGAUCGUAAAACUCUGUUAUUAGGGAAGAACAAAUGUGUAAGUAACUAUGCACGUCUUGACGGUACCUAAUCAGAAAGCCACGGCUAACUACGUG